Long non-coding RNA from Mirounga angustirostris (Northern elephant seal), 445 nucleotides. RefSeq lists it as uncharacterized. The record is from RefSeq and is a predicted model, not a curated record. The transcript is spliced from 3 exons. NCBI's taxonomy places the organism in Eukaryota, Metazoa, Chordata, Mammalia, Carnivora, Phocidae.
GGGCAGGACAGCCAGCGCCGCGCGGAAGAGCGCGCGAGCCACUGGGAGCCGGCGCUGCUCUGCUCUCCCGCCGACCUCUGCGGCCAAGCGCGCUCCGGCACCGCACUGCGCCGCGCACAGCAGCCGGGAGCAGAGGUGGGGAGCUGGACCCGCGCAGAACCACAGAAAAGCGCCGCACAAUUGCGCCAAGGACAAACCCUGGGCACGCUCGCCGGGGGGUUGGAGCGCAGGGCGCUGGUGCUCCUCUAACUGGGCGGUCGCGGCGCUCCAACGAGAAGGUCGUGAUCUCAGGAUCCUGGGAUCCAGUGCCAGGUCCAGCUCCCUGCUCUGCAGGGAGUCCUGCUUCUGCCUCUCCCUCUGCCCCUCCCUCUGCUCGUGUUCUCUCUUGCUCUUGCUCUGUCUCUCUCAAAUAAAUAAAUAAAAUCUUUUUUAAAAAAAUAAUAGU